This 493-nucleotide ribosomal RNA is filed under the name uncultured bacterium. Its description in RNAcentral is "bacterial SSU rRNA". It matches the Rfam family "Bacterial small subunit ribosomal RNA", at positions 28 to 527 of the family's 1533-position model. The record is from RNAcentral.
GACGAACGCUGGCGGCGUGCCUAACACAUGCAAGUCGAACGGAGAUGAUGGGAUAGCUUGCUAUUUAAUCAUCUUAGUGGCGGACGGGUGAGUAACACGUGGGCAACCUGCCCCAAAGAGGGGGAUAACACCGAGAAAUCGGUGCUAAUACCGCAUAAUAUUAGAGCUUCGCAUGGAGCUUUAAUCAAAGGAGCAAUCCGCUUUGGGAUGGGCCCGCGUCUGAUUAGCUAGUUGGUGAGGUAACGGCUCACCAAGGCGACGAUCAGUAGCCGAUCUGAGAGGAUGACCGGCCACACUGGAACUGAGACACGGUCCAGACUCCUACGGGAGGCAGCAGUGGGGAAUAUUGCACAAUGGGGGAAACCCUGAUGCAGCAACGCCGCGUGGAGGAAGAAGGUCUUCGGAUUGUAAACUCCUGUCUUCUGGGACGAAUAAUGACGGUACCAGAGGAGGAAGCCACGGCUAACUACGUGCCAGCAGCCGCGGUAAAACG